AGCUUGGGCGCUGGCCGGUAGGAGGUUGAGAUGGGACGUAGUAGGUUAAGGGAGAAAAACAUAAGCGUACCGGCCUAAAAACGUGUCUUCUCUUUUUGUCUAUUUCUGCUGAAUGAGCUGCCCGUAAGAGGUUGUUGCUGACUGCCUGGACCACCCAGCCCUGGCUCUUGAGGUCCCAACAGACCAGAUUUGGCCACCUGCUGCCUUCAGGAUCCAAUGAGAGAAAAGAAUGGCGGUGAAACAAAGAAGGGAUUCAUUUUUGGUGCAAUCAUCUGGAAAGACAGCAGGUCUACUGACCUCGUGAGAAAACUGCAUCUGAGGAAUGGACAGCAGCUUCAGGAUUAUACAACAGAACUACAGUAGGAGGCAAAAGUAUGCAGCCGGUCACUCUUGGUCACACUGGGGUACGUCCAGUCCCGCAAGGUCACACUGUCACCGAGGAAGAUAACUGCUUGCAAGUUUCUCUGUUCCUGAAGUUUGAGAGAAGGCAGAAGGAAAAAUGACUCAGAGAAAACAGGCCAGAGAAAAAUAGAGUUAGUUGGCCAUUUAGAAUGUAUAACAUCGAUACUCUCCAGCCCCUUUCCACUGGGUAAUUUACCCAACCCUCUGCUGCAGUGCCCAAGGAGGCAGCCAGACAUGAAGCAGGCAGGGUGGAGCCACCUUGGAAGCUCCCAAGAAAAAGCAGAGUCUUCAGGACAUGGGAGGAACCUCUGUGUCUCACUACCUUCUCCUCUGCAUGGGAAGACAGUGCAGAAUCCAGGCUGUCAUUAACACUCCACCUUACAAGUUUUCACAGACUAUAUUUCU
Long non-coding RNA from Fukomys damarensis (Damara mole-rat), 807 nucleotides. RefSeq lists it as uncharacterized. NCBI's taxonomy places the organism in Eukaryota, Metazoa, Chordata, Mammalia, Rodentia, Bathyergidae. The record is from RefSeq and is a predicted model, not a curated record. The transcript is spliced from 3 exons.